UCUAUUAUGASAGAAUUAAUGUAAUGAAUUUAAAAUUCAUUUAUAAAGAAUAAUCUUUUUUUAGAA
This 66-nucleotide transfer RNA is filed under the name Ceratoglyphina roepkei. Its description in RNAcentral is "tRNA-Leu". Lineage: Eukaryota; Metazoa; Arthropoda; Insecta; Hemiptera; Hormaphididae. The record is from RNAcentral.